AUGGUGAUUAUUAGCAGAUGUGGCUGCUGUUUAUUGCAAGUGCUGGAGGCUGCUUCUUGGCCUCAUUGGCUGUCCAUACUCAUGACAACUCCAGCCCCAGUAUUUCUUGAGAGGGCAGUUCUUGCUGUACCCGUGAACUGUGGGGGCCACCUGAAUAUACUUCACGGACCCCAUGAAAAUGCCUUUGGAUUUGCCAAGAUGACCUCCUCCACCUGGAGCAUUGUGAUCAUUCACACCAUCAGCUCUAAUCUAAUUUUCAUAAAGGACAAGAAUUUUCAUGUGCUUUGUUCACUGCUGUGUCCCCAGAGCCUAGAACAGUGCCACAGAGAGAUGAUGAAAAGGGCCGCAAAGCUUCUCCAGAGGGGGAUGCUUCUUCAGAAGGAACAUCAAGUUGCCAGACUUCACAGGUCUCUCUCCUCAUCUCACCAACAUCUUCACCCAUCCCAUGUGGCACAUGAAGGAAUGAGUUUUGUGUUUUCUGUCCUUCCUCUCUCCCUCCUCAUCCGCCAAGCUAGAGUGUGUGUACACAGCAUCCCUAGUCUUCAUGUCCAUGCUUUAUGUCCAUGUGUUGGGAAAAUUACAUAUGUGUGCCCCAUAACUUUCUUGAUUUGGUCCAAAUUUUUAUUUAUUUAUUCUUUAUUUUCCUGAUAGUGUUCUGAGUUC
This 663-nucleotide long non-coding RNA is filed under the name Canis lupus familiaris (dog). RNAcentral describes it as "lncRNA (ENSCAFG00000057091.1)". Lineage: Eukaryota; Metazoa; Chordata; Mammalia; Carnivora; Canidae. The record is from RNAcentral.